RNAcentral lists this ribosomal RNA (255 nucleotides) under uncultured bacterium. RNAcentral's name for it is "partial 16S ribosomal RNA". It matches the Rfam family "Bacterial small subunit ribosomal RNA", at positions 524 to 776 of the family's 1533-position model. The record is from RNAcentral.
UACGUAGGGUGCGAGCGUUGUCCGGAAUUAUUGGGCGUAAAAGAGCUCGUAGGCGGUUUGUCGCGUCGACUGUGAAAACCUACAGCUUAACUGUGGGCUUGCAGUCGAUACGGGCAGACUUGAGUUCGGUAGGGGAGACUGGAAUUCCUGGUGUAGCGGUGAAAUGCGCAGAUAUCAGGAGGAACACCGGUGGCGAAAGGCGGGUCUCUGGGCCGAUACUGACGCUGAGGAGCGAAAGCGUGGGGAGCGAACAGG